This 620-nucleotide ribosomal RNA is filed under the name Nostoc punctiforme AUS-JR/MT/NT-127. RNAcentral's name for it is "bacterial SSU rRNA". It matches the Rfam family "Bacterial small subunit ribosomal RNA", at positions 146 to 797 of the family's 1533-position model. Lineage: Bacteria; Bacillati; Cyanobacteriota; Cyanophyceae; Nostocales; Nostocaceae. The record is from RNAcentral.
AACACUGGAACGGUGGCUAAUACCGGAUGUGCCGGAAGGUGAAAGGCUUGCUGCCUGAAGAUGAGCUCGCGUCCGAUUAGCUAGUAGGUGGGGUAAGAGCCUACCUAGGCGACGAUCGGUAGCUGGUCUGAGAGGAUGACCAGCCACACUGGGACUGAGACACGGCCCAGACUCCUACGGGAGGCAGCAGUGGGGAAUUUUCCGCAAUGGGCGAAAGCCUGACGGAGCAAUACCGCGUGAGGGAGGAAGGCUCUUGGGUUGUAAACCUCUUUUCUCAGGGAAGAACACAAUGACGGUACCUGAGGAAUCAGCAUCGGCUAACUCCGUGCCAGCAGCCGCGGUAAUACGGAGGAUGCAAGCGUUAUCCGGAAUGAUUGGGCGUAAAGCGUCCGCAGGUGGCUGUGUAAGUCUGCUGUCAAAGAGCAAAGCUCAACUUUGUAAAGGCAGUGGAAACUACACGGCUAGAGUGCGUUCGGGGCAGAGGGAAUUCCUGGUGUAGCGGUGAAAUGCGUAGAGAUCAGGAAGAACACCGGUGGCGAAGGCGCUCUGCUAGGCCGCAACUGACACUGAGGGACGAAAGCUAGGGGAGCGAAAGGGAUUAGUACCCCCGGGUAAGUCAA